This 399-nucleotide ribosomal RNA is filed under the name uncultured bacterium. Its description in RNAcentral is "partial 16S ribosomal RNA". It matches the Rfam family "Bacterial small subunit ribosomal RNA", at positions 360 to 776 of the family's 1533-position model. The record is from RNAcentral.
AAUAUUGCGCAAUGGGGGAAACCCUGACGCAGCGACGCCGCGUGAAGGAAGAAGGCCUUCGGGUUGUAAACUUCUUUGAUCGGGGACGAAGAUGACGGUACCCGAGGAACAAGCCACGGCUAACUACGUGCCAGCAGCCGCGGUAAUACGUAGGUGGCGAGCGUUGUCCGGAAUUACUGGGUGUAAAGGGCGUGUAGGCGGGGCGCCAAGUCAGGUGUGAAAUUCCGGGGCUUAACUCCGGGUAUGCACCUGAAACUGGUACUCUUGAGUGUCGGAGAGGAAAGUGGAAUUCCCAGUGUAGCGGUGAAAUGCGUAGAUAUUAGGAGGAACACCAGUGGCGAAGGCGACUUACUGGACUGCAACUGACGCUGAGUCACGAAAGCGUGGGGAGCAAACAGG